Long non-coding RNA from Manis pentadactyla (Chinese pangolin), 648 nucleotides. RefSeq lists it as uncharacterized. The record is from RefSeq and is a predicted model, not a curated record. NCBI's taxonomy places the organism in Eukaryota, Metazoa, Chordata, Mammalia, Pholidota, Manidae. The transcript has 3 exons.
CUGUCACUGAUGGCAGGCUGCUCAGAGAGCUUCUGGCAUAAGGCAGCCCACCCCCACUCCUCCUCCCCGCGCUGCCAACACACAUUAUGAAAAUGAUCCAAUUAAAAAUGGACUUGACAGACACUUCAACGAGGAAACACUGAUGGCAAAUAAGCACAUGAGAGGGUUCUCAUUCUCAUUAAUCAUCAGGGAAAUGCAAAUUAAAACCGCAAUGAGCAGCCGCCCAGUUGGGGACAGACUGUCCCAACUCAGCCAACGCGAGGCCAUCGCCACCCUGGCCUCCCAGUUUCCUCCAAAGCAGCGCCGCCCAACUUCCUCCUUUUUCUCUCUUUUAUUCUCCAGACUCGCUUGUGAUUUUGUCACAACUUGCUUACCCUGAACUGCAAUUCUUCGCUACUCCUGAAUAAACCCAUUUUGCUGAUAAAAUGACUGGCUGUCUUCGUUUUAAGGUAGACACCUGCGUUUGUCCCUCUGAGAUCUGAGACCCAAGCAGGGACAGGGGCUGGACGGGGUGACCCCCAAGGCAUCUGGAAGACGCUGGAGCCCGUCCCGCAGCCCCUGCGGGAGCCCCUCGGCCCCAGGAGCAUGUCUGGCGAGGCCGACAGGCGACCCGCGGCGGGAGCGGGGGGCGGGGCGGGGCCGGGGGCG